CGCCCAUCUACAAGAAGGGCCAGAGGGUAGACCUGGGAAACUAUAGGCCUGUCAGUUUGAACUCAGUGCCAGGGAAGCUCAUGGUGCAGAUUGAGUGUCAUCACAUGGCACUUACAGGGCAAGCAGGCGAUCAGGCCCAGUCAGCAUGGGUUUACGAAAGGCAGAUCCUGCUUGACAAACCUGAUCUCUUUCUAUGACAAAGUGGCACACUUAGUGGAUGAAGGAAUGGCU
Molecule: long non-coding RNA, 231 nt
Organism: Oxyura jamaicensis (ruddy duck)
Lineage: Eukaryota; Metazoa; Chordata; Aves; Anseriformes; Anatidae
Exons: 3
Source: RefSeq, a predicted model, not a curated record